UUUAACGGCCGCGGUAUUUUGACCGUGCAAAGGUAGCGCAAUCACUUGUCUUUUAAAUGAAGACCCGUAUGAAUGGCAUAACGAGGGCUUAACUGUCUCCUUUUUCUAGUCAAUGAAAUUGAUCUCCCCGUGCAGAAGCGGGGAUACAACCAUAAGACGAGAAGACCCUGUGGAGCUUUAGACAACAGGGCAGACCAUGUUAAUAUAAUCUGAUUAAAGAACAAAACCAAUUGGACCCUGCCCCCAUGUCUUUGGUUGGGGCGACCGCGGGGGAACAAAAAGCCCCCAUGUGGAGUGAGAGUACUUCUCCCACAACCAAGAGCGACAGCUCUAAGUAACAGAAUUUCUGACCAUCAAGAUCCGGCCAGCCGAUCAACGAAACGAGUUACCCCAGGGAUAACAGCGCAAUCCUCUUUUAGAGCCCAUAUCGACAAGAGGGUUUACGACCUCGAUGUUGGAUCAGGACAUCCUAAUGGUGCAGCCGCUAUUAAGGGUUCGUUUGUUCAACGAUUAAAGUCCU
Molecule: ribosomal RNA, 520 nt
Filed under: Bedotia madagascariensis (Madagascar rainbowfish)
Lineage: Eukaryota; Metazoa; Chordata; Actinopteri; Atheriniformes; Bedotiidae
Description: partial large subunit ribosomal RNA
Rfam family: Bacterial large subunit ribosomal RNA
Source: RNAcentral